GUGUCCCUUUAAGAUUGCUGUAGUGUUUUAAGAAGCUAACACAAAAGGACAAAGUAAGUCUCCAUAGAAUCCCGAGAGCAGACUGCAGAACUCCUCUUUGGAUCCUGUCUGGAGACAGCUAA
This 122-nucleotide small nucleolar RNA is filed under the name Procavia capensis (Cape rock hyrax). RNAcentral's name for it is "Small nucleolar RNA SNORA26 (ENSPCAG00000019315.1)". It matches the Rfam family "Small nucleolar RNA SNORA26". Rfam says of the family: The snoRNA HBI-6 belong to the H/ACA family of snoRNAs, guiding the pseudouridylation of position U4522 if the 28S rRNA. HBI-6 is the human orthologue of mouse MBI-6 snoRNA. Lineage: Eukaryota; Metazoa; Chordata; Mammalia; Hyracoidea; Procaviidae. The record is from RNAcentral.